RNAcentral lists this ribosomal RNA (367 nucleotides) under uncultured bacterium. RNAcentral's name for it is "partial 16S ribosomal RNA". It matches the Rfam family "Bacterial small subunit ribosomal RNA", at positions 338 to 723 of the family's 1533-position model. The record is from RNAcentral.
CCUACGGGUGGCAGCAGUGGGGAAUAUUGCACAAUGGGCGAAAGCCUGAUGCAGCAACGCCGCGUGAGCGAUGAAGGCCUUCGGGUCGUAAAGCUCUGUCCUCAAGGAAGAUAAUGACGGUACUUGAGGAGGAAGCCCCGGCUAACUACGUGCCAGCAGCCGCGGUAAUACGUAGGGGGCUAGCGUUAUCCGGAAUUACUGGGCGUAAAGGGGGCGUAGGUGGUUUCUUAAGUCAGAGGUGAAAGGCUACGGCUAAACCGUAGUAAGCCUUUGAAACUGGGAAAGUAGAGUGCGGGAGAGGAGGGUGGAAUUCUUGGUGUAGGGGUAAAAUCCGUAGAGAUUAAGAGGAAUACGCGUUGGGAAGGGG